GAGGGGUUUGGUCCUCUGGGGCCUGACAACCCCCUCUGAUCGCCCUCACGUCCCAUAAGGAGGCAAAGGCCGGAUUUCCGAGGCCUGGGAGGAGUGCUCCAAGGGCUCACUGGACAAGCCAGAAACUGUCAGUGUCUAAUUAUAUCAUUUGGCUACUAAGUGAAGGAGUGAGGGAAUAGCCCCGGUGCAGGCACACCUCCAGCCUUGGGGAGGGGCGGUGGCACUGCCCUAUCUUGUGCAGCUCCUGUCACUACCCCACUCUCCCUGGACUCCGCUGGCCCUGAUUCGGUGCCUCCAGAAAUCUUAGGGUGGUGGUGUGGAGAGGACUGCUUGCCCUGCUCAUGGAGCUAGCUCUGGUGAGACAAGAUAAGCCCCAAAUCCUGCUCACGUCAUUCAAUCUGGCCACCAAAUGAUUUGUCACUGGGGAGCUGCAUGGGGCUGGGUGGACCAAUGGUGUGGGUCAUGGGAAGAGCCUGCCUUAGCCCACAUCACGCUGCCCUGAGGUGUCCCUGCCUAAGCCCUUCCCCACUUUUUGGCUGGCCUUGGUGCUCCACCCUGGUGGGGCAUCCCCCAUUCAUGCUUGCCAUCCAGUGAUUCGGAUCUAGAUCCCAUCCCCACCAUCCUGGGUCUGUCUGCACACCUUUCUUACAUUUGUGGUCCCUCAGCUAGCCCCACCCACCUGUCACCCCUCAACCCAGAACAUCUCUCAGCUUCAGCCACACAAAGAUCCUCAUCAUUCUGAGAAAACCUUGGGCUCUUUCACACCUUCAUGCUUUUUUUUCUACACUGUUCCCUCGGCCUAGAAUACCCUUCUCACUCUCUUCCCUCUAUGCCCUGAAAAUGAGCUUCGAGUCUUAUGAAAUGGGGCCAUGACUAUAUCACCCAUGCCCAGUGCAGAGCCUGGUACAGAGGAAACACUUCGGAGGUCUUUGCUAAUGUCGUCAGUGUAUCCUAUCCCUGGCCUUGCCACCAGCCCCAUCCCACUCACAGCUGAAGGGCUUCUGGAGCCCCUGUUCUCUGGCUACUUAGCUGUGUUUCAGGAAGCUUCUCUGUAGUCACUGCACUGAGCUGAGCCCCACCCUGGCUCAUGCAGUCAUUCAACACUCACUCCCUGAAAUGCGUGGGACACAGAGAUAGCCCUGCCCCUGCCCUGGGCCUCAAAGCUGCCACCAAGGCCCCAUCCUUAUUUCCUGCUGAUACCACCUCUUCUCCAGCUCUGGGGCCAUCCUAGAACCCAAUCUCACAGCCAGCAGCAAGAAGUCAUGGCCCCUGCUGGACCCCCAUUCACUCUACCUUCCCUUCCCCAAAGGCCUUCCCAAGGCCAUCUGGUCAGCACUGGGAUGGCAACAUUAAGUGCUCAAUAUUUGUUUGCUGAAUGGCAUAAAUUCUCCCACCAUUAGGAUGCCCACAAGUUCCAAAUGCCACCAAUCCCACAUUCUCCCUGCCUCAGCUGAUUCUGCCUUGCCCCUAUCUUUGUUUCUCCAGGCCCACCCAACUGUCAACACAGUUCCAUGCUGGUAGGUUCUGCAGCUCAGACCUAGGACUCCUGGAUCUCCACCCUACCCCAGCAGACCUCAGGCCCGGGCUCUGACACCUACCUAGUCCCAGGCUCUCUAGUGUCCACCUCCUGCAGGAGCUCCAGGCCCUGAAACCCAGCCUGUUUGCUUGGACUCCAGAGACCAGCAUCCUAUCAGCAUCUCUUUGCAUCAGGACUCAGCCCCUCAUCUGUCUACUUCUCCCCACCUAUGUGACACAGCACAAACUGCUCAUCCUGCCAGCCCAAGUGUGAACCUGCACCCAGGACAGAAAUGGCUCAUCAGACGCAGCACUGUUUCUCCCUGAACUAAGAUCCAUUUGCAAUAAAAUUCAGGCACCUACUGCCUGUUUAUGA
RNAcentral lists this long non-coding RNA (1891 nucleotides) under Homo sapiens (human). RNAcentral describes it as "HSALNT0363692". The record is from RNAcentral. Lineage: Eukaryota; Metazoa; Chordata; Mammalia; Primates; Hominidae.